UACGAAGGGGGCUAGCGUUGCUCGGAAUCACUGGGCGUAAAGGGUGCGUAGGCGGGUUUUUAAGUCAGGGGUGAAAUCCUGGAGCUCAACUCCAGAACUGCCUUUGAUACUGAGGAUCUUGAGUUCGGGAGAGGUGAGUGGAACUGCGAGUGUAGAGGUGAAAUUCGUAGAUAUUCGCAAGAACACCAGUGGCGAAGGCGGCUCACUGGCCCGAUGCUGACGCUGAGGCACGAAAGCGUGGGGAGCAAACAGG
Molecule: ribosomal RNA, 253 nt
Filed under: uncultured bacterium
Lineage: Bacteria
Description: partial 16S ribosomal RNA
Rfam family: Bacterial small subunit ribosomal RNA
Source: RNAcentral